This 245-nucleotide ribosomal RNA is filed under the name uncultured bacterium. RNAcentral's name for it is "partial 16S ribosomal RNA". It matches the Rfam family "Bacterial small subunit ribosomal RNA", at positions 524 to 768 of the family's 1533-position model. The record is from RNAcentral.
UACGUAGGUGGCAAGCAUUAUCCGGAUUUACUGGGCGUAAAGGGUGCGUAGGCGGAUUUUUAAGUGGGAUGUGAAAUACCCGGGCUCAACUUGGGUGCUGCAUUCCAAACUGGAAAUCUAGAGUGUGGGAGAGGAAAGUGGAAUUCCUAGUGUAGCGGUGAAAUGCGUAGAGAUUAGGAAGAACACCAGUGGCGAAGGCGACUUUCUGGACCAUAACUGACGCUGAGGCACGAAAGCGUGGGGAG